CUAAAAAUGAAUAUGAAAAUAUAUAGACAAACGACUGUAGUACCUGCAUGGCAUGAUAAUAGGGUGGUAGACAUCAUCACAAGAGCUACCAAGAGUAGGGCUCUUGUGUUGUUCUUGAUAAGUUCCAUGAGGAAUGGUUUCUUGUUUCUUUAUUUCUACGUAUGUGCAAGUAUCCUUGUAGUUUGCACUUGUCAACCUAUGCCUUUUGUGUUGGUGUUUAUAUAAGCAUGACCAGACCUGGGAGGAUCAGUUCUUGCCCUUCUACUUUUGGCUGGAGUUGAUUACUACUUAUAAAACUGAAUAGAUAUAUACCAAAGUAUUUUGUGUUAAACAAGGAUAUAUACCAAAGUAUAUCUUGUGCAUAAGUUGUUAUUAAUUGGUUCUUAAGUUCUGAUAUUUGAAAUUAUUUGGUGCUUUAAAAUGACAUACAUAUCACACAGUAAAAGUUAUCUUUGACAUAGCUUGUUAUCUUCUUAAAAAUGGUGGAUUAUUAUUUGCUCUGAAUAUUGGCGAAUGUAAUUACUUGAUGUUAAGUUCUCUUAAAGUAUAUGAUCUAGAAUCUCCUUUUACUGAUAGGAUCUCAAAAAAAAAUUAGUAUUGAUCAUGAUAUUUGAAAUAUUUGACAUGACAAAGAAAAUAUUUUUUUUUUGAGGCUAAGUGAUAAUAUCAAUAGGAUGUUAUUCGAAUAAGAACAACUAAUUAUUAAUCUAUGUGGAGCGUGCUAGGUCUAAUGCCAAAGCAGACCAAGCACUCCGCAUGUUAAGAUAUGUCUGCAACGCUCGUGGAUACACUUUAUCGGUGUGUAGCACCCCAAUUUAGUUUCGAGCAAUUCAGUAAAUUCAAUACUGCAACCAAUGCACAUGCCUGACUAGUGUUUAUUUUUAGGCUACAAGAUACCGCAACACGGGGAGAAAAGCAGCAACACUACUUGGGUGUGGCCUAUAAGGUUAGAUGCCUCUAACCAAACCGGUGGAUUGAAUGUCUAUAGAGCUCUAGUGCAUAUGUCGACAUGGCACAAAUCAUCCUUCAUCAGAUUAACCCCUAUAGAAAUCUAUAUAUAGGCAUGAACAUUCUCAAGAAAAUCACUGUCAGAUAUAUAGAAUACAUACAAAUGAAUUUGUACCAAAGUGCUGAUACAAUGUAUUGUGAUGUACAAUAUGAUGACAACAAUACAUAUGUUCUUAUUACAACAUCAAAAAUGGACAUAAAUUAUAUUGACCACUCAGGAGACUGAGAGACUAUUCAUAGUCUCCAAACAUGUCGGUUGAGGCAUAUUCAACCAUCACGUUCUUCGUGCCCAUAUGGUCCCCUCACCUUUGAUGAUGUCAGGUUGAUGGUUGGAGUGGGCUUCAAACCUUUGCCCUUAAGGCCCUUUGUAUCGCAGGGAUUGCUAAUACAGAAUAACCAGAUGCUGAGAUCUAGAUCGAUAUAAUGCCUUAUGAUGCAUAAGGUAACAUAUUUAUCCUGUUAGCGGUGUGACUCCAAGCAUAGGUGAAUCCGACAGGUCUUGGAUUGCACAUAUUAUCCCACGUGACACAAGAGCGAUCAUGAUGUCCAUGGCCCAGGUAGGGCUAUGGUGGCCAUUGAGGGCGAAUGCCUCAAAUUCUCUAGCCAUCGGUUACCAGAGAUAAUUAAUUUAUGAUCAGUAAAUUAACGACCAUCAUGGUUAGUGUUCUAAUGAAUUUUGCAAAAUUAAUGGAUAUUUCAAGAACUUAGGUUGAAAUCAUUAGUGUGAAUCUCAAAUUGCUAAGUAUGACAUCUUGAAGAUAGUCUUCAAAAUGGAUUAGAUCUCGCAGCACCAAGGAGUAUAAUCUGAUGAAAUCAGUAGAUACUCACUCGUAAUGUCUUAUGUCACGACAUAGUAAAAUAUGUGGGAGAGCACUUAAUUUGUAAAGUAAUCAUAAUGUCAAGAUGACAAAAUGUUGGCUUUAACAGUAGUGGUGAUAAUUUGCAAAGCAGUAAAUCUACACACUACCUUGUGACCUCAAUACAUCAAUUUGAAGAAAUCACUAAAAAAUUUGCAUUCAUAUUUGCAAGAAAUUAACAAUCUCAAUUGCAAAUAGACGUAAUUAAUCUCGACACGUGACAAGCGUGAAAAUAUAUUACAUCAACUUAGGUUCUGGAAUACAUUGGUACUCAACAGAAAACAGUACUGAAAUAUAACAUGUAAAAACAUGAAUGAAAUCACUUCUAGAACUACUGCUAGGUGAGAUAUCUGCUAAUAUGUUAAAUCAAUGGAGCAAAUAGCAAGUAAAGCAAGCGUUGCUGGCUGCCUAAAGUCCCAGCCACAAGCAAAUUGGCCACGUAAAAGGCAGCCUAGCCUGGUCAACCCGAGCAGACAAGGGAGAGCGACCAGAGGAAAAAUCGCCCAGGAGCUUUCUAUCCCAAAUCCGGACCGAGACAGGCGGAGACCCCAGCGCUGGCCGACCGGCCGCAUCACCGACGGCGAGAAGAGAUCCCGCCGCGCUCGUCCUCGAAUGAGUCACCAGGGAGGACUCGCGAGCCCGAGCGCCUCGGCACGGCCGGAGCGGCUGCUCGACGGUGGGCUCACCAGCGGGACGCCGAGUGGCAAGGGAGCCGCGUCCCGUGGAGGACGGCAUGCACGGGUAUCCCGGCAGCAAGAAGGCGAGCGCGUGGCUGGCGACGACCUCGACGACCGCGGGGGUCGGAGAUGGCAGCGGCGCAGCCUCGUGCGUCUGCGAGCACCGCGUCGGGAGGUGCGAGUCAGACCGCACCGACUGUCGCUGUCGUUCCUUGACUGUAUGGCGCGGUUCCGUCGUACGCCAGUGCCAGGAGCCGGUGAAAGAAGAUAAGGAGGGCGCGUGGCAAGAUACGGCACCGUGGCUGAUGCUAGUGCUUUCUACAGAGUGAAAAAAACAUGGUGAAGUACCUUUUUUCUUCUCAUAUGGCAGUUUGUUGGUUGCUAAAAAAAACGAGACCAACUGUGACGCCCGGAUAAUUAAGCUACAGUGAUCCCACGCUAAUAUUGCCACGUCACCAUGGUUACUGCUGCUAAUCUAUCGCUAGAUCAAAACCGGUCCAAAAUUCAAAUUCAAAGUUUGGUAAAUAAUAAAAAAUUCAAACAUUAAAAUAAAAAUGUUUGGUUUGUACUAAAUAUUGCAUAGGUAAUUAUGGUGGAGAGACCACACUUCUAUAAAAUGUUAAAUAAUCUAAAAUGAAUAAAUAGUAGCUAAAACAAUUAAUAAGUGCUUUUUGAAUUUUAUAAAAUACUAAACUAUUUUGUUCAGGGGUAAAACCUUUUGUGACGGUAGUUGGAAUUGUAACUCUAUUUUAGAUGUGGGUUUUACCUUUUGUAAAACUAUAAAAUAUUAAAGAAAUAAAAGAAAACGGAAAGCAAAGAAAAGAAUAAAAACAAAAAAAGAAACUAGAAAAAAGAGAGGAAAGGACCCCCCCACUGGGCCAACNNNNNNNNNNNNNNNNNNNNNNNNNNNNNNNNNNNNNNNNNNNNNNNNNNNNNNNNNNNNNNNNNNNNNNNNNNNNNNNNNNNNNNNNNNNNNNNNNNNNNNNNNNNNNNNNNNNNNNNNNNNNNNNNNNNNNNNNNNNNNNNNNNNNNNNNNNNNNNNNNNNNNNNNNNNNNNNNNNNNNNNNNNNNNNNNNNNNNNNNNNNNNNNNNNNNNNNNNNNNNNNNNNNNNNNNNNNNNNNNNNNNNNNNNNNNNNNNNNNNNNNNNNNNNNNNGCUUUCCCCCAUCCGCCGCCACCUGCGUGCUCGCACAUAUCGCGCCCGGGAGAGGAGCUCCCCGCGCACGUCCCCUUCGCGAGUGCCUCCUACCACCGUGAAUGCAAGCCGCUCCGGCGAUGCUUCGCUACCCUGCCACCCACCGGCUCCCUUCCCCCUCUUCCUCUGCGCCUCCCCGUCGCCCCUGCCCGACUGCCUUGUCAUCGGCGGCCCGCGCCGCGCCGGCCAUCAGAGCAACCAGCCAGCACCACCAGCUCCUCCCGCGUGACGACCAUGUCGUUCUCCAUCGUCUGCGUCCGCUUGUCGCCCCGCUCACCGUCGUCGCCUCGCCAUCGCCGGACCUCCUCGUCCCCUUCCUCGAGCCGUCUUCAUCAAGCCUCGCCGGCGUACAUCUACAACGUGGGGUGAGGACCCGUUCUUCCCCUUCCCCCUUCGGUUGCCGGCGACGAUUGCAUCCAGCACCGAACCUGCCGUGGGCCGCUCCCUUGUACUAUUCGCUGCGCCUGCAGCCGGCGCCCUCACGCGCACACGCCCGUGCGUGGCCUCAUUGCCGCUGCUGCCGUGCUAUGCCAGCCGCUCGCCUCGCGCCGUCACAGCCGCCGUUCGGGUUCGCCCGUUAACGGGCGCCUGCCCGUCACCCAUUUCCCUUUCGCCCGUUCAGGCUGUGCCCAUCGCCCAUGCCUGCUAUGGCCCCAGGGGCCUAUGACAAGUGGGCCCUUGCCCUAGAACGUUUAUAAAAAUGUUAAAACUAAUUAGUUAAUUAAUUAAUUAGUGAAUUAAUUAAAUUAAUUAAUUCUGUUUAACUAGACUAAUUAAAAUUAGUUAACAUAAUCCAGUAAUUAAACUAAUUAACCAUGUUUAGUUAAUCUAUGGCUAUGACGGGCGUGACCCACCUGCCAGGGUUGACCUAGUCAACCUUUGGUCUUGCUGACAUCAUGUAGAUGUCAUGCUGACAUCACAUUUAUAUUUUGUAAUUAAAUUAGUUCUGUUAAUUCUAAAAAUGAAUUAAAAUUUCGAUAAUUAAUAUAAAAUAAACCGUAACCUGGAUGAAAAUACUUUGUACAUGAAAGUUGCUCAGAACGACAAGGCGAAUCCGAAUACGCAACCCGUUCGUCCGCCACGCGUCCCUAGCAUAGCAAACAUGCAACUUUCCCCCUUCGAUUCAUCUGUCCGAAAACGCGAAACACCGGGGAUACUUUCCCGGAUGUUUCCCCCUUUCGCCGGUACCACCUACUGCCACGUUAGGGCACACCUAGCACCGCGUAUUGCCAUGUUACGCUUUGUGAUGCUUUGAUUGCUCCAUUAUUUAUUGUGUUCCCCCUCCAUUACUUCUUUCCGGUAGACCCCAAGACUGCCAGCGACCCCAGUUCGACUAUGAAGUUGACGACCCCUCCUUGCCAGAGCAACCAGGCAAGCCCCCCCUUGAUCACCAGAUAUCGCCUAUUCUCCUCUAUACUGCUUGCAUUAGAGUAGUGUAGCAUGUUACUGUUCGGUUACUCCUAUUCUGUUGCAUAGCCUGUCAUUGUUGCUACAGUCAUUGAUACCUUACCCGCAGUCCUAAAUGCUUAGUAUAGGAUGCUAGUUUAUCAUCAUUGGCCCUACAUUCUUUUCAUUCUGCCUUGCUAUACUAUCGGGUCGUGAUCACUUGGGAGGUGAUCACGGGUAUAUACUAUACAUAUAUACAUACUAUACAUAUAUACAUACUAUACAGAUGGUGACUAAAGUCGGGCCAGCUCGUUGAGUACCCGCAAGUGAUUCUGAUGUGGGGGCUGGAAGGACAGGUGGCUCCAUCCCGGUAGAGGUGGGCCUGGGUUCCCGACGGCCCCCGACUAUUACUUUGUGGCGGAGCGACAGGGCAGGUUGAGACCGCCUAGGAGAGAGGUGGGCCUGGCCCUGGUCGGCGUCCGUGGUUAUUUCAUAAUAACACGCUUAACGAGAUCUUGGUAUUUGAUCUGAGUCUGGCCACUGGCCUAUACGCACUAACCAACUACGCGGGAACAGUUAUGGGCACUCGACGUCGUGGUAUCAGCCGAAGCCUUCUUGACGUCAGCGACGGAGCAGCGCGUGCCAGAUUGGACUGGAACGCCUACUCUUGUAUAAGGGAGGCUAGGUCUGCUUCCGGCCGCCCUCGCAACGUGCAGGUGUGCAAUGGGCGAUGGGCCCAGACCCCUGCACGCAUAGGAUUUAGACCGGUGUGUUGACCUCUCUGUUGUGCCUAGGUGGGGCUGCGACGUGUUGAUAUUCCGAGGCCGGGCAUGACCCAGGAAAGUGUGUCCGGCCAAAUGGGAUCGAGCGUGUUGGGUUAUGUGGUGCACCCCUGCAGGGAAGUUAAUCUAUUCGAAUAGCCGUGAUCUUCGGUAACAGGACGACUUGGAGUUGUACCUUGACCUUAUGACAAGUAGAAUCGGAUACUUAAUAAAACACACCCUUCCAAGUGCCAGAUACAACCCGGUGAUCGCUCUCUAACAGGGCGACAAGGGGAGGAUCGCCGGGUAGGAUUAUGCUAUGCGAUGCUACUUGGAGGACUUCAAUCUACUCUCUUCUACAUGCUGCAAGACGGAGGCUGCCAGAAGCGUAGUCUUCGAUAGGGCUAGCUAUCCCCCUCUUAUUCUGGCAUUCUGCAGUUCAGUCCACUCAUAUUGCCUCCUUACACAUAUACCCAUGCAUAUGUAGUGUAGCUCCUUGCUUGUGAGUACUUUGGAUGAGUACUCACGGUUGCUUUUCUCCCUCUUUUCCCCCUUUCCCUUCUACCUUGUUGUCGCAACCAGAUGUCGGAGCCCAGGAGCCAGACGCCACCGUCGACGACGACUCCUACUACAUUGGAGGUGCCUACUACUACGUGCAGGCUGCUGACGAUGACCAGGAGUAGUUAGGAGGAUCCCAGGCAGGAGGCCCGCGCCUCUUUCGAGCUGUAUCCCAGUUUGUGUUAGCCUUCUUAAGGCAAACUUGUUUAACUUAUGUCUGUACUCAGAUAUUGUUGCUUCCGCUGACUCGUCUAUGAUCGAGCACUUGUAUUCGAGCCCUCGAGGCCCCUGGCUUGUAAUAUGAUGCCGGUAUGACUUAUUUUACUUUUAGAGUUGUGUUGUGAUAUCUUCCCGUGAGUCCCUGAUCUUGAUCGUACAUAUUUGCAUGCAUGAUUAGUGUACGAUUGAAUCGAGGGCGUCACAAGUUGGUAUUAGAGCCGACUGCCUGUAGGAAUCCCCUUCCACACUCCUUGGCCAAAGUCGAGUCUAGUCACUACAAAACUUUUACUAACAUGGCUGCGUGUCUUACGGGCCCACGUCUCCAUUUGGGUGGUAUUAGGAUCUUUUACUCCUCGUCUAUACUCUGGGACUCUGAUCUCUCUUCUAUUCGGGUUAAAUGAUUUUGCUAAAAAGACUAACUUUAGGUUCUCGAAAAUACUUUCUCCCGGAGAGCCCUCACUCCAGAUGAUCGCUUGCCGCACCAGAAGAUUCCGAAGAUACUCUUCGAGGUUUUUCCGAGACCCUUGUGCCCAUCGACUUUAUAAUCCCCUACCACCGAUAAACCCUUAUGGAUAACUACCUACAAUUGUCGUUCAUACCUUCAUCCUCAGUUGCUCUUGUUAUUACAAGAUGCCUUAAGUUGCUCUACGUUGUUCCGAAAAUCUUUUAAGCUUACUGUGUUGCAGUUCUCUACCACAUGAAUACCCCUAUUGAAAAUUCCUCGCACUUAUUGAGUAUCCGUUCAUCCCCAGUUGUUCAUAUGCUUCAUAAGAGUCUCUGAAAUACUAUCCGACCUUCUGAGCAUCCUCUUCAAACUAUUGCUCUGCAAAUACUUGUAUGCUUACAUUAUGGAUGCUCCCAUAUCACUAGCAAUAUUCACUAGUAUCUUUUGACACUGUCAUUUUGAUCCUAUUGAUUCAACAUGUGUGCGAAUGCACACAAUCAUCAAUCGACCCUUCUAAAUUAUCUUUCCGUCUCAGACAUCAUUCUGAACAUGAACUGGUUCUAGACCAAACUAUUUGUCGUCAAUUGUGCCUCUGGUCUAUCCAACUUAUCCAUCCUUGAUCAUAGCGUCUGCUUCUGAUCCCUUGUUUUGGAAAUCAUAAUUCCUUUGUUAUCUAAGCAUCGAAUUAUUCGGAUAUUCUAUAAUCUGAUGCCCGUGCAUUCUUUCUUCCUCUGAUUGAGUACUGAUACUCAGAUCAGCUCCGGUGUGGAUCGCCCGAUCCAUUGUUGGAUUUCAUCCGACAUCGUCUUUCAUAUUCAAUAACCUUGUGAGCCUUUCCACGGGUAUAUAAUGCCUUUGGUAAAUUGUAUCCUUUGCUUGGCCAACCAUGCUCUGCUUUCAAGCUUGUGUAUUUACUUUUGAAACUUGUGGUAUAUGUUACUAAGAUGCCCGAUGGGUUGAACCUAUGCCUUCCCCUAAUUCGUGAGAACCCGAAAGUUUUCACAAGUCAUACUCUUCUGGUGUUUUACCAGAUAAAAUUCCAAAACUACAGUUAUAUCAAAGCGAGAGGUGAAUGAAAUGAUAUGCAUUAAAGAAGUGGGAGUUAACCUUGAACUUUGUGUUCAUGCCCAUGAAAAUGAUGUAGACCAUCUCGGAAGCUUCUUGCAAAAUGAUUAUCCAGCUGUAUGAUUCUUUCGGUAUUCUUGAAUUGAUUCCUUACAGUUAUGGUUCCGACCAUGCUGUCCUGAUCUGAUAUAUCUGAUGGGAAUUCAUUCCAAUGCCUCGUCUAUUUUUGGCGAGGUUAAAGUAUCUACUAUCACAGAUCAAUGACCCGGUUCUACUUCUAUCAUGUUCUACCUUCGAGUAUUACCCCUGGUAUCUCAAAGAUAUCUUGCCAUUGCACCACAUCUUACUAACUUUGUUGAAGUAAUGUCUUUCCUUGUCGUAAUCACUCUACGGGUUCCGGGUUGUUGUCAACCGAGGACACCGACUAGUGAAAUUAUUCUGCACUACAAAUCAAAUACCCCUAGUAUUUUUACUAGGAAAUUUUGAACUCAAUCUGCUCAUUCCUAGACUAUCGGCUGCAUCCUGGUCUUGCUACCUUUGACUGUGCUACCUCGUCCUUCUCUAGUGCACGAAUUCUUCAGUGUGUGAGCACGACUUACGUCGAGCUUUCAACAUCAUGUUGCUUGUCUUCAAAGGCAACUUUGGUUCCGAGCUUGCAUCUUAUAUAUUGAUCCUAUAACUUGCCACUUCGUCAUUUCCUUGCUUGUUGCCAUUGUUGUUUGAUUGCAUCCUCUUGAAACCUCCCGGCAAAUGUGUCGGAUCACCUUCAACACUUUGACUUCUUUCGAGAUGUCAACUGUGUUCAUCAUGAGAAAUACCCUCCUUGCCCUCGAUGAUUUUUAGUAUCAUCGACAACACCCUUGACUUUCCUUUCAUCGCGAACUUGUCCACAUUAUGAAUACAACUUGCUUUCCAGCUUGUAUUAUGUUCUACCUUGAAGUAUUACUAUCUUUUAUGUCAAGGAUGUUGUGAGGAUUGCUCCACCUCUUGAGAGUUCCUAGUAUAGUGAUACUUCUCACCAUCACCAUUAAUUCUUGUUCCCUAUGUCAAUUCUAACUGGUACACCGACAAGUGAACGGUACUCUUUGGAUUCUGCACUUCUAGUGACCCUAUUGCUUUGAAGUUAAUGGUCUACAUUUCAUUCUUAGACCAUUGGUUAUCGAAUCAUCGUUCUAAGCAUUGAUCAUGCUACAUAGGCCCAUAUUUUGGGUGCACCUUUUCAACCAAUGUUUAAUUGUGUAUGUUUUCCUCGAGCAUACAUCAUUAUAUCAUCUGAUCUGACUGAUGUUAUCUCCUUGUUCACAUGAUUGUGGAAAUCCAUAUUUCUGGAAAUUUUGAUGGGUUGUCGCUGAGUCCAUCAGCCACCUCCGCAUCCUCUCUUUUGUUUACUAUGAACUCUUGUUUCGGUACUCGCUUCCAUAGUUCAUUUUCCGAGAAUUUUACAAUGUCAUCUCGUCAAUUUGUGUUGUACCUUUUCUUCUCAGGCAUCCCGAGUCUGAGGAUUUUGACACCAAUCAGAUCUGAAUCUUUGUCAGAUAUGAUGGUUGGGACAUAUUUCCAAGAGUUAUAACAUUGGUAUUUAUAUGACCCAGUAAGGUGAUGUCAUGCCUAGCACACCUGGCCCGAGUCCCUAUUGUUAUAGAAUCCUUUUCAGCAAGGCUAUCCAUUCUUCCAUGAGGAAAUUGUAAGACUUACCCUAUAAGUUGUUUCCGAUGAAUCCUUUGUGUUUCCAAAGUUUGAUCAUCAGCUGAUGACCAUGCCAAUGCUAUCUCGAAGCAUGUCUGUGGUACUCCGAUUUUCAACAAGAACAUUUGAAGCCCAAUGCUAAAUGUUUCUUACUCAAUUAUCCAAACACCGUUGCAUGGGUAAUGUCAUGAAAUUUCUCUCCCCUUACCUAAAGGGUUUUCUACAUUAUAUCCUGUCAUGGAUAUCAUGCUCGGCUUGUCCUUGGGAAGGAUAUACCCUGAAAUAUGUGUUUAAACACAUAUUCCUUUCCAUUAAAUUGUUUGACCUUCCUUGUGAUCCAUAUGAUCUAAGCACUAAUGUUCUUCUGCUUAUGUAAACACCUUAGUGUACAACCGUGUCAGUAAGACCCUGUUGCAUUUCUCGAUAGCAUUCCGGUAACCACCGAUGGACGAGAACUUUGCCUAUUGGUCCGCCUCGUCCUAACGAGCAGGAAAAUGGUUCUCUUUGUCCCUCGCCCUUGGUACCGACGUUAUUGCCGACAUAAUCGGCAGGCUACCCUCAGACAUGCCUUGCUUGCAUGAUCACGCAAGACGUCUCCGCCCUUCCUACUUUUAACCCACAUGGUGGGCCCAUAACCCACAGUUCCACAUGAUCGAAACCUGACUCUCCUGUGCACCCCCUGUUCCCAAAUUUAUUCCUCGCGCGUGGCCUCGUAUGUAAUUCACGGACCACCGUCCUACUGAUCUAUACUGGCAUAAGACAAAAUACUUAUUCUGAUUGCUUUGAACCCCUUUCACACUCUGUUUCAGGCAUCGAACGAUUGCCUGCCGCUUGAAACUUCUCAUGACACCUUCCUACUUUGCUCUCGAUAUUUUCUAAAGGUUUUUAAUUCGAGAGUUACUUCCCCCACCUUCCCCGAUGUUAUCAACAAGUUAGUCAACCUUGCAGAGGUCUGUUCUCCCAGCCCCUUUAUUCUUUCAUAAGUACGGUGAAAGUUCCUGAAGAAAGGAUGCCGACUUCAUCAUGAUGACUGGAGCAGAGAAAUAAAGAAAUCAACGAAAGGGAUCAACUUCUUCGAGAAGAGCAACCGAAACUGAGAAGAUCCGUUAGAUUUUUUGUAACCCAAUCCUUUUCCCCUUACUCCCCUCCUAAAUCUCGGGACGAGAUUUCUUGUAGUGGAGGAGAAUUGUGACGCCCGGAUAAUUAAGCUAUAGUGAUCCCACGCUAAUGUUGCCACGUCACCACGGUUACUGCUGCUAAUCUAUUGCUAGAUCAAAACCGGUCCAAAAUUCAAAUUCAAAGUUUGGUAAAUAAUAAAAGUUUUCACACAUUAAAAUAAAAAUGUUUGGUUUGUACUAAAUAUUGCAUAGGUAAUUAUGGUGGAGAGACCACACUUCUAUAAAAUGUUAAAUAAUCUAAAAUGAAUAAAUAGUAGCUAAAACAAUUAAUAAGUGCCUUUUGAAUUUUAUAAAAUACUAAACUAUUUUGUUCAGGGGUAAAACUUUUUGUGAUGGUAGUUGGAAUUGUAACUCUAUUUUAGGUGUGGGUUUUACCUUUUGUAAAACUAUAAAAUAUUAAAGAAAUAAAAGAAAACAGAAAGCAAAGAAAAGAAUAAAAACAAAAAAAACAAAACUAGAAAAAAGAGAGGAAAGGAACCCCCCCCCACUGGGCCAACGGGCCCAACUGGCCAGCCAGGCCCCCUCGCGCCCCUCGCCUAUAUGGCCUGCCCUCCCGGCCAACCCUAGCCACACCAUCCUGCACUCCUCGAUCCCCAUCUCUCCCCUCGCUUUCCCCCAUCCACCGCCACCUGCGUGCUCGCACAUAUCGCGCCCGGGAGAGGAGCUCCCCGCGCACGUCCCCUUCGCGAGUGCCUCCUACCACCGCGAAUGCAAGCCGCUCCAGCGAUGCUUCGCUACCCUGCCACCCACCGGCUCCCUUCCUCCUGUUCCUCUGCGCCUCCCCAUCGCCCCUGCCCGACUGCCUUGUCAACGGCGGCCCGCGCCGCGCCGGCCAUCGCAGCAACCAGCCAGCACCACCAGCUCCUCCCGCGUGACGACCACGUCGUUCUCCAUCGUUUGCGGCCGCUCGUCAACCCGCUCAUCGUCGUCGCCUCGCCAUCGCCGGACCUCCCCGUGCCCUUCCUCGAUCCGUCUUCAUCAAGCCUCGCCGGCGUACAUCUACAACGUGGGGUGAGGACCCCGUUCUUCCCCUUCCCCCUUCGGUCGCCGGCGACGACCGCAUCCAGCACCGAACCUGCCGUGGGCCGCGCCCUUGCACUAUUCGCCGCGCCUGCAGCCGGCGCCCUCACGCGCACACGCCCGUGUGUGGCCUCAUUGCCGCUGCUGCCGCGCUAUGCCAGCCGCUCGCCUCGCGCCGUCACAGCCGCCGCUCGGGUUCGCCCGUUAACGGGCGCCCGCCCGUCACCCAUUUCCCUUUCGCCCGUUCAGGCUGUGCCCAUCGCCCAUGCCUGCUAUGGCCCCAGGGGCUUAUGACAAGUGGGCCCUUGCCCUAGAAUGUUUAUAAAAAUGUUAAAACUAAUUAGUUAAUUAAUUAAUUAGUGAAUUAAUUAAAUUAAUUAAUUCUGUUUAACUAGACUAAUUAAAAUUAGUUAACAUAAUCCAGUAAUUAAACUAAUUAACCAUGUUUAGUUAAUCUAUGGCUAUGACGGGCGUGACCCACCUGCCAGGGUUGACCUAGUCAACCUUUGGUCUUGCUGGCAUCAUGCACAUGUCAUGCUGACAUCAUAUUUAUAUUUUGUAAUUAAAUUAGUUCUGUUAAUUCUAAAAAUGAAUUAAAACUUUGAUAAUUAAUAUAAAAUAAACCAUAACCCGGAUGAAAAUACUUUGUACAUGAAAGUUGCUCAGAACGACGAGGCGAAUCCGAAUACGCAGCCCGUUCGUCCGCCACGCGUCCCUAGCAUAGCAAACAAGCAAAUUUCCCCCUCCGGUUCAUCUGUCCGAAAACGCGAAACACCGGGGAUACUUUCCCGGAUGUUUCCCCCUUUCGCCGGUACCACCUACUGCCGCGUUAGGGCACACCUAGCACCGCGUAUUGCCGUGUUACGCUUUGUGAUGCUUUGAUUGCUCCAUUAUUUAUUGUGUUCCCCCUUCGUUACAUCUUUCCGGUAGACCCCAAGACUGCCGGCGACCCCAGUUCGACUACGGAGUUGACGACCCCUCCUUGCCAGAGCAACCAGGCAAGCCCCCCCUUGAUUACCAGAUAUCGCCUAUUCUCCUCUAUACUGCUUGCAUUAGAGUAGUGUAGCAUGUUACUGUUUGGUUACUCCUAUUCUGUUGCAUAGCCUGUCAUUGUUGCUACAGUCAUUGAUACCUUACCCGCAAUCCUAAAUGCUUAGUAUAGGAUGCUAGUUUAUCAUCAUUGGCCCUACAUUCUUGUCAUUCUGCCUUGCUAUACUAUCGGGCCGUGAUCACUUGGGAGGUGAUCACGGGUAUAUACUAUACAUAUAUACAUACUAUACAGAUGGUGACUAAAGUCGGGCCAGCUCGUUGAGUACCCGCAAGUGAUUCUGAUGUGGGGGCUGGAAGGACAGGUGGCUCCAUCCCGGUAGAGGUGGGCCUGGGUUCCCGACGGCCCCCGACUGUUACUUUGUGGCGGAGUGACAGGGCAGGUUGAGACCGCCUAGGAGAGAGGUGGGCCUGGCCCUGGUCGGCGUCCGUGGUUAUUUCAUAAUAACACGCUUAACGAGAUCUUGGUAUUUGAUCUGAGUCUAGCCACUGGCCUAUACGCACUAACCAACUACGCGGGAACAGUUAUGGGCACUCGACGUCGUGGUAUCAGCCGAAGCCUUCUUGACGUCAGCGACGGAGCGGCGCGCGCCGGAUUGGACUGGAACGCCUACUCUUGUAUAAGGGAGGCUAGGUCUGCUUCCGGCCGCCCUCGCAACGUGCAGGUGUGCACUGGGCGAUGGGCCCAGACCCCUGCGCGCAUAGGAUUUAGACCGGCGUGUUGACCUCUCUGUUGUGCCUAGUUGGGGCUGCGAUGUGUUGAUCUUCCGAGGCCGAGCAUGACCCAGGAAAGUGUGUCCGGCCAAAUGGGAUCGAGCGUGUUGGGUUAUGUGGUGCACCCCUGCAGGGAAGUUAAUCUAUUCGAAUAGCCGUGAUCUUCGGUAACAGGACGACUUGGAGUUGUACCUUGACCUUAUGACAACUAGAACUGGAUACUUAAUAAAACACACCCUUCCAAGUGCCAGAUACAACCCGGUGAUCGCUCUCUAACAGGGCGACGAGGGGAGGAUCGCCGGGUAGGAUUAUGCUAUGCGAUGCUACUUGGAGGACUUCAAUCUACUCUCUUCUACAUGCUGCAAGACGGAGGCUGCCAGAAGCGUAGUCUUCGAUAGGGCUAGCUAUCCCCCUCUUAUUCUGGCAUUCUGCAGUUCAGUCCACUCAUAUUGCCUCCUUACACAUAUACCCAUGCAUAUGUAGUGUAGCUCCUUGCUUGCGAGUACUUUGGAUGAGUACUCACGGUUGCUUUUCUCCCUCUUUCCCCCCUUUCCCUUCUACCUGGUUGUCGCAACCAGAUGUCGGAGCCCAGGAGCCAGACGCCACCGUCGACGACGACUCCUACUACACUGGAGGUGCCUACUACUACGUGCAGGCUGCUGACGACAACCAGGAGUAGUUAGGAGGAUCCCAGGAAGGAGGCCUGCGCCUCUUUCGAUCUGUAUCCCAGUUUGUGCUAGCCUUCUUAAGGCAAACUUGUUUAACUUAUGUAUGUACUCAGAUAUUGUUGCUUCCGCUGAAUCGUCUAUGAUCGAGCACUUGUAUUCGAGCCCUCGAGGCCCCUGGCUUGUAAUAUGAUGCUUGUAUGACUUAUUUUACUUUUAGAGUUGUGUUGUGAUAUCUUCCCGUGAGUCCCUGAUCUUGAUCGUACACAUUUGCAUGCAUGAUUAGUGUACGAUUGAAUCAGGGGCAUCACACCAACCCCGCCUGGUGGCAUUUUUGUAUACAAGAAAACUCCAUGAGCACCAAACACUCAAGCAUAGACUUGAACCCUAAUGGGCUGGCUGCGAACUCCCGCGCCUUGCCAACUGAGCUACGCUCAAUUCUCAUCAGUUUGUUGAUUGCUAUUUUGGCCUUGAUGAUCUUUGAAUCGAUGGAUUCCAACACCCACUUAUUCUGUUGUCGAUUCAGAAGCGCCUCGUUUAUUCUGAUUUUGGCGAGUUAAUUGCACAGAAGUACCACAAUUGAGGCAUCACAUGCAGAUUGGUGCCACGAUUGCUAAUUUUUGCGUGUCAGUACCAACAUUGGUCCAGGUUUUUACAAAAGAGGCUAAAAUGCGUAUUUAUACGUAUUGACGCUAGAACCGACAACUGGGCCCCACCCGUCAGGUGCCACGCUGGCCAAUCGGCGCAUGCCUGCGUGUGCCCGCGCGCUGACUAGGACAAGCCGGUGCGUUGCUCUCCUAACCGGCGCGGUCGCACCAGCCCGAGCCCGGCCGCACCAUUCCCCUCCCCUCUUCCUCCUCGACUCGAACCCUAGUCCAUGGCGUCGACGACUCCGCCAGGCGGCGGUGAGGGCGUCCAUGGCGGCGGUGAGAUGUCGUUCUGGCCUCCUAGCGGAAUGGCUGGCGUGGACGGGGAUGGCGGCGACGACUCCAGCUCCGCGUACUCGUUCGACGACGAGGAGUCGAUGUUACUCACCAUGGAGCAGCGGUUGCGGUUGGCGCAUCAGUGGGUGGCGAACCCUAGCAGCAGCCAUGAGUUGACGCAUGGACUAGGCGACGUGUUGUAAGUACCCUUGUCCUACUCCUCCUCUGAUUUAUCCAAUUGGGCAUUUUUAGGGUUUGUUCAUCUUCUGCUUUAUCCAGUUGGGUAUUAGGUUUUAUCCAAUUGAAGUGACUAGUAUAGGACAAUUAAAUUAACCUAGUAACAUAGUGUAUUGCACUCUCAAAUUAGUUCAAUUACAGUAAAAGUUUGGGAUUAUGGUUUUACUAAGUGAAUUAUUGUGGCCUUGUCUUUUUCCUUGAUUUUGCUAUUGUGCUGAAUUAGUAAAGUACAUUGAUUCAUGUUUUAGCAUCUGUAAUAGUAAUAGUAAAUAUUAGACUUACAGGUUAUUUUAAAUUGUUCUGUACUGUAGUGUUGCUCUCCAAAUUAAGAGCAAUUAUAAUGAAUACAUGAAAUUUAAUUUGUUCUGUAGUUUUGAUGAAGACAUUUGGCAAGUAAGGAUCCAUUUUGAUGCAAGAGAACCAUUGGAGAUGAAGCUGUGUGGUUCAGAUAUUACUUAUCUGAAUUUGGUUGCAGUGAUGGAAACCCAAGGAUUUAAUGCAUAUGAUUGUUUGUAUCACAUUGAAAAUCCAUCUUUAGGAGAGAAAGGGCUGGAUUUGGUAGACAAUCAUGCAGAAUUACAGAUGAUAAAGAGGAAGAUCCAGGACAAAUUGGUGCUUAAUUUGCUAGUCAGGGCUUGUCCACCCCAUGAUACUGAUUUUGAGAUGCAACAUUUUGGAAAGCCAGAGUUGUCCACUGUGGUGUACCAAGAGCCUAUUGUUUAUGAUCCGAGUGAGCCUCCUAUCUUAGCUGUCGACCAGGAAGGAGUAGUUUUUGAGAGUCAAUGUAGCAUCUCUAGCACACCUCAUCCUGCUGGUCCUCCUGGUGUUUGCACACAAGAAAGCAAGAAUGCAACAGCCAAGUUAAAAUCAGUUUUGGAAGAAGAAGAAGAGGGAUAUCAAGGAUUUGAGGCUUAUGAGGACAGUGAUGCCUCUGAUGAGGAUGGUCAAAUUGGAAGUGACCCUCAUUACAUCGUUGAUGAUGAAGAUGUAGAGGUGGAAGAGGGAAAGAGACAGAGAGAGCUAGAAGUACAAGAGGAAGAACCAGAUGAUGAUCAAACAGAAGAGGAAGAAAUGAUGCAUUAUGAGGGUGACACUGAAGUUGAGGACCCAUUUGAGGUAGAGGAAGAUAGGACUUUUGAACAAGAAGAAGAAAUUAUAGUUGAGCCUGUAAAGAAGAAGCAGAAGCUGCCAGUUAGAAGAGGACCAACCACUAGGUCACAUUGUAGUAAGCUACCAGAGGUUGAACCUGAUUUCAGACCAUCAUCAGAUGAAGAAGAGAAGGGGUUGUUGAGGGAGAGUGAUGAUGAUGGUUUUGAGCCACUCUCUUUUGUCCUACUAAAGAAAAGGAAGAGUAGGGCAAAGAAAAGGCCUGCUAGGAAGUGUUACAAUGAGAAAAUGGAGCAACCACAUGAGCAACUGUGUAUAAAGUUGUGUUUUAGGGAUCAGCAUCAAUUCAGAGAUGCUUUGUUGAAUUUGCACAUCACUCAGGCCAGGGAUUUCAAGUAUCACAGGAAUUCAGAUCAAAGGAUAAUUGUUGAGUGUACAGAUAAACAAUGCCAAUUCUUAAUGGUGGCAGCAGUUAUAAAAGGGGGAAAACCUUUGUAAUUAAGAAGAUGAGACUAGAGCACACUUGCCCUAGUACCACUGAGACCACCAGGGUUAGUGCUAAGUGGCUAGCACAGAAAUAUGAGCAUCUCUUCAUAUCUGAUAUAACUACUGGUAUUCAGACUAUAAUUGAUGCAUGCAAUGAAAAAUAUGGUGUAGAUGUGCCCAAGUGCAUGGCAUAUAGGGCAAAGAACAUAGCUAUUGAAGCUGUGUUAGGAGAUCACAAGAAGCAAUAUACUAGGCUUAAAGACUAUGCUCAGACUGUCAUGGACACAAACCCUGGGAGUAGAGUAAUAGUCACUACUAUUACUCCAGUACCAAAUGCAAAAAUACCCCACCCAGGCCCAAGAUUCCAUGCCAUGUUCUUUUGCCUUAAUGGAGCAAGGGAGGGGUUUCUCAAUGGGUGUAGGCCAUUCACUGGUUAGUUCCCUAACCCUGUGCACCAUUUACAUACGUAGAGUACUCCAUAUUGUAUCUCACUUGAAUGUAUUUAAUGUUUGGAAAUGUUGAUUCUGCAGGUGUUGAUGGAUGCUUCAUUAAGCUCACUACAGGUGCUCAACUACUUGCUACCACUGGUAGAGAUGGCAACAACAACAUAUAUCCACUGGCAUUUGGCAUAGUUGGUCAAGAGGACACACCUAGUUGGUGUUGGUUUCUACACCAACUGAAAAUUUGCCUAGGGGGAGAAGUGGGCAAGUUUGGACCUUAUACUAUAAUGUCAGAUAGACAAAAGGUAUGUGUUUGCAUAUUUCAUUCUGUUUUGAACAAGUGUUUAAAGUAGCUUAGAUUUUCAUUGGUGCAUAUUUCUUUAGCUUGUAGCUUAGACUUGUUAAAUUGUUUGUGUCAGGGGUUAUUGAAUGCAGUGAAUGCCGUGUUUCCAAAUUGCAACCAAAGAUUCUGCCUUAGACAUUUAUAUGCAAAUUUCCAAAAUGCUGGAUUUAGGGGUGAAGAUCUUAAGAAAUGCAUGGAUAAUGCUAGCUAUGCCAACAAUGAACACAUAUUUAAUAUUGCAAUGAAUGAUCUUAGAGCUGAAAGUGAGGAAGUUGGGAAUGGCUUACUACAAUACCAAAAAAAACAUGGGCAAGGCAUGCAUUUGACACAAACUGCAAGACUGACUUGGUAGUGAACAACUUGUCUGAGGUGUUCAACAAGUACAUUCUAGAUGUUAGGAGAAAACCUAUAAGGACAAUGUGUGAUGGGAUAAAAUAUAAGUAGAUGGUGAGGUGGCACAUGAAGAGAGAGUGCAUAAAGGCAGCAAGAUGGGAGAUAACACCUCAUUACAGUGAGAAGCUAGAGGUUGAGAAGGAGAGGGCCAGAUACUGCAAGCCAAUACAGGCAGGGGGUCAACUUAUGGCAAGUUACAAGUGGGCAGCAAACAAAUGUUAUCAACCUGGAACUUGAGACUUGUGGAUGCAAGAAGUGGGACCUUAGUGGCAUACCUUGCAACCAUGCCAUCUCUGCAAUAAACAAGGCUAAAAAUAAACCAGAGGAUUAUGCCAGCAAAUUCUUCAAGAAAGAUUUUUAUGUUGCAGCUUAUGAACCAAUGAUCUUUCCUGUGCCUAGUGAGCAUGAUUGGACAAGGACCCCUAGUCCAGACAUAGAACCACCUGCAUUCAAAAUCAAGAGAGGAAGAAGGAAAGAAAAGAGGGUCAAGGGCAAAUUUGAAGUACCAAAGUCAAAAGACACUUCAAGAAUGGGGACCAUAACAUGUGGCAAUUGUGGUCUACAAGGGCAUAGGUACACAAACUGUCUUAAACAGUUGAAGCCUGAGCUAGCUUUGAGGAAGAAUAAGCAUGUGGUAAUAAUUUUUCACCUUGAAAUAUACUAAUGUUUCCUUUCUUGUACAUUUCUUUCUAUCAUUAUUAACUGUUUCCUUUUCUUUGUAAGGCUACUCCAAGUACCUCACAGCCAAGAGCUGCUGGUCCUUCUACUACACCAAUAGCAAGACAGCCAAGACAUGCUGCUUCUGCUCCUACACCACCAUCAUCUGGAAGAAGAGGAGCUGGCAGAGGAAGAGCUGCUACUACUUCUACUACUCCACCACCAUCUGGAAGAGGAGCUGGCAGAGGAAGAGCUGCUGCUACUUCUACUACCCCGUUCGUCCGCAGCAGCAGCGUCAACUCCACCAGGACCGAGGAGGGCGCGUCGGCAGCGUCAGGGAGGUUCACCUGCCCCGGCGGCCACGGCCACGGUCGGCGCCCACGAGCGGCCGCAUUGCAAGAAAGUCGCUCCGACGACGACAACCGCAGCUGGUAGCAACAGCAACGGCAACAGCGGUGGCGGUGCGAGAUCGGUUUACUACUACGGGUACGGAGGCGGCAGGAGCGGCAGCGACGGCCAUGGUGGCGGCGGGGUCCAGGUGAGCCCGGUGCUGAAUGUGACGUCCAUCGGCACGAGCGUGGUGAACAUGCUGAGCCACCUGCUGUGCGACUGUAGCGAGAAGGCCCCCAAGCAGCAGAGUAGGGGCUUCGGAGUGCGCUGCUGGGUAACCAGGUAGUAAUACAAGCAGUAGUACUACAAGUUAAGCGCACUCGUUAAAAUUGUUAUGAAAGCAACUUAUAUUAUUAGGAGGCCAAUGUCAACAUAUAUACACAUACAUGAGGAUGCCAAAAGGCUACAAGAGGAUGCCAAGAGACUAGAAUGCAAAAGGCCAAAAGACAUCACUUAAUAUGACUCUAACACCCCCCCUCAAACUCAUCGUGGAUCCACAACACUGAGUUUGGAGAGAUGAAAUCCAUGUUGCGCUCUAGUCUGAGCAUUCGUGAAGAAGUCCACUAGAUGUAACUCAGAAGGCACAUACUGAAGAGCAAAAACAUGAUCAUGCACAGCAGCGCGCACAUAAGAAGCAUCAACACCAAUGUGUUUGGUAAGCUCAUGCUUCACGGGGUCCCGCGCAAUACUGAUAGCACCUGUGCUGUCUGACAGGAGGGUGGUAGGUGUAGUAAUAGAAACACCAAAAUCCUCCAGUAACCAUCGUAACCAAGUCACCUCAGCCGUCAGAAGAGCCAUAGCUCGCAACUCGGCCUCUGCACUCAAACGAGAAACUGCAGUUUGUUUCUUCGUCUUCCAGGAAAUGAGGGAACCACCAAGAAAGACACAGUAGGCAGAAAGUGAACGGCGAUCCAUAGGAUCACUAGCCCACGUAGCAUCCGAAUAGGCCUGGAGCUGUAACGAGCUGUAACGGGAAAAAAGAGACAAUGAGAGAUCGUGCCAUGAAGAUAUCGUAGAACGCGAAGAAGGUGACUAUAGUGAACUGAAGUGGGAGCAGAAACGAACUGACUCAGAAUAUGGACAUGAUAGGAGAUAUCUGGACGAGUGACAGCAAGAUACACAAGACUCCCAACAAGAUGACGAUAACGUGUCGGAUCAGACAAGGGCUCACCAUCAGAAGCACGAAGGUGAACAUUGAGCUCCAUAGGAGUAUCAUUAGUGCGCUCAUCACUAAGAGCCGCACGAGUAAGAAGACCCUGGAUAUACUUUUCUUGGGAAAUAAAAAAGUCUGCAGAGGUGGAGGAAACCUCAAUCUCAAGAAAGUAACGAAGAGGACCAAGAUCAGACAUAAAGAACUGCUCAUUAAGACGGGCCUUGACAAAGGCAAUGUACUCAGAAUCAUCGCCGGUGAUGAUCAUGUCAUCAACAUAUAGAAGAAGAAGAGUGCGACCACGAGCAGAAAGGUGGACAAACAACGCUGGAUCGUGAUCACUGGGUGAAAAACCAGCAGCAGUGACCACAGAGGCAAAAUGCUCAAACCAAGCGCGAGGGGCUUGCUUAAGGCCGUAGAGAGAGCGACGAAGACGACAAACCAUGCCAUCGGGAACUGAAUACCCAGGUGGUGGCUGCAUAUAAACCUCCUCAUGCAACUCACCAUUAAGAAAGGCAUUUUUAACAUCAAGCUAUGACACGGACCAGUGACGAAUAGAGGCCACAGCGAAAAGUGUGCGGACAGUGGUCAUAUGGGCCAUAGGAGCAAAAGUCUCAUCAUAAUCACGACCAUGCUCCUGUUGAAAGCCGCGAGCCACAAGACAAGCUUUAUAACGCUCAAGAGAACCAUCAGAGCGAGUCUUAAUCUUAUAGACCCACUUACAAGUUAUGGGACGAACACGGGGAGGAAGAGAAACCAGAUCCCAUGUGCCAUUGCGCUCAAGUGUGGCAAUCUCCUCUGCCAUCGCAAACUGCCAUUCAGGAUGAACAAGAGCAUCACGAUAAGAGGUAGGCUCAAGUACAACCGAAAGGCCAUAUCGGCUAGGAGAAUAGCGGUCAGGAGGAGAGCAAGGUCGAGCCCGAAGACCAUAAGUCGGCUGGGACGAGGAAGACGGUGCACCAGAAGUAGAUGGCACGUCAGUAGAUUCAUCCAUAACACGUCGACAACGGGUAUAAUGAAAAGGAAAAGUGGGAUGAGAAGGAACCACCGGAGGUGAUGGAGAUGGUGAAUACAUUGGUGAUGAAGGUGGAGUGUCAUGCAAUAAGGAAGGAGAAGAAACGAUAGGAGAAGAUGGUGUCGGAUCUGCAAUAGUGGGACGAGAAGGAGGAGUAGGAAUAUGAGGCAUAGAGGGAGGUGUAUCAGGAAACGUGAGAAAAGAUAUAUCCUCUACUGAAAAGGUCGAAGAGGAUGGUCGUGGGUAGAAUGGACGAGACUCAUCAAAAGUCACAUCCCUAGAAAUACGCAUCCGUUGACCGACAUGAUCCCAACACCGAUAACCCUUAGGUUCAUCACUGUAACCCAGAAAAACACACUCAACAGACUGAGCGGUUAGUUUGGUGCGUUCUCAGGGGGCAAGGAGAACAUAACAAACACAACAAACAACCGAAGAGCAGAAUAAUCAGGAGAAUGAUCAGAAAGACGCUCUAGAGGAAUACCUCCCUGUAGAGCAGAUGAGGGUUGAAUGUUUAUGAGAUAUGUGGCAAUGGAGACAGCCUGAGCCCAGAAAUGAGGCGGAAGAGAUGCGGCAAUCAUCAUCGCACGAGAUGUCUCAAGAAGGUGACGAUGCUUGCGCUUAGCCACGCCAUUCUGAGCGUGAGCGCCGGGACAAGAGAAUUGAGCAAGAGUACCCUGCUCGGCAAGAAAACCACGCAACACUUUGGAGAUAUACUCGCCAGCAGAAUCAGCACGAAACACGCGAAUAGGUGUAGAGAACUGAGUGUGGACCAUGGCGGCAAAACGCUUAUAAAUAGAGAGAACCUCGCUACGAGAAGACAUGAAGUAAAGCCAAGUGUAGCGAGAGAAAUCAUCUAUAAAAAUAAUAUAGUAGCGAUGGCCCCCUUUGGAAGAGAAGGGAGCCGGACCCCACACAUCUGAAUGUACUAAAUCAAAAGGGCGCUGCGACACUGACUCGCUAGUAGGAUAAGGUAACUGAACUUGUUUACCAAGCCUACAACCCUGGCAUUGUAAGGAGACAUCUCCUGAGACAGGCCCCAGAAGACCACGACGAACUAAAGACCAUAGUCGAGAACCACAAAGGUGACCAAGUCGAUGAUGCCAUUGCUGGAAGGAGCUGGUAGUUGAAGCGGCAAAGGCAGAUGGACUGGCGAGUGUGGUGGUAGCGGAAGGAACAUUAAGCCAGUCCAACUCCCAAAGCCCUUGAGAAUCACGGUAGCGCGGGCCAGCCCCAACCAGAGCCUUCGUGUGACGAUCCUGGAUAGUGCAAGAAUCAACGUCAAGAAUGACACGACAACCAGAAUCAGUAAGCCGACCCGCAGAAAAUAGGUUCAUGGUAAGGCGAGGCACGUGAGAAACAUCUGGAACAUAAAAGGAAGAAGUGGCAAGAGUGCCUCGACUCGCAACAGGAAUUGGAGUACCAUCAGCAGUAAGAACAUUAAUUGGAAAAUCGAGAGAUCUACGAGAGGACAAGAUAGAAGAAUCGGAGGACAUAUGAAAUGAAGCUCCAGAAUCCAGAACCCAUGAGGAUGUACCUGACUGUGUAGACAGUGGUCGCUCAGCACUAGAAGCACCAGUCACAGAGCCUGCAGUACCUGUCGAAGAACCUGAAGCAGCAAGUAGACGCUUGAGCUUCACAAUAUCUUGCUCAGUCAAGGAGACAGUAGACGGCGUCGAGGAAGAAGCACGAGUUCCAAAAGAAGAAUUGCGCUCCCUAUUACGCAUACCACGCUUCUUCUUGAAGCAGUCAGACUCGGGGUGACCAUCCCUGUUGCAGUAGUCACAAUGAGUACGAGGACGAGAGCGGCCUUCACGAGAGCGGGCCUCACUACCCGGAGGAGUGGGCAGUAGCGGCGGAGCACUGGAGUGAGAAGACAUUGGUGGAGUAGCACCUCAAGCAGAGAGCACAGAGGGAACCUGAAGCAAACCAGCACCACGGAGGUGAGUCUCCUCAGCACGAAGCUCAGAAAGCACCUCAGAAAUAGGAACCCGGCCACGGGCAAACAACUGAGCACGUCGAGGCUCAAACUCCCCACGGAGCCGUGACAAGAACUCAUAGACGCGCUGAAACUCCAAGUCUGACCUCACAGUCUGGCAACACGGGCAAGUGCCACAAACAAUAGUGCGAAGGGAGUCAAGCUGGCGCCAUAUAGCAGAACUCUGAGUGUAGAACUCAUCAAUAGUGGAGUCUUCCUGCUGAAGAGCAUGCUCCUGACGGACCACAGACAAGUAGAGAGCAUCACCAGAGGGCUGAUAGCGCUGACGAAGAUGAGUCCACAUCUCAAAGACAGUACUGAGGCCUAUAAAUUCAGAAGCAAACUGAGGCAAAACACUGGAAGUGAGAACAGUCGCAGCACGAGCAUCAUCAUCACACCACUGAGUGUAAGCAGCCAGAUCGUCACGAUAAACAGAAAGAGCAUUUGAAUAAUCCAAGACCUCCUGGUCAUAAGCGGCAUCCGCAUCAUCAGCAGCAACCCUGGCUGCAGCCCUAUCAGCAUCAGAAGCAUCUGCGUCAAUAGCCGGUGGUGUCGGCGGUGGGGUAGGAGCCACAGGAGGCACUGGGCGCGGAGGACAGGGGACCUCACCGAAAAGAACACCCCAGAGACGAAUGUCACGCAUGUGAAUGCGCAUAAAGGCAACGAACUCAGCAUAGUUAGCCCCAUCAAAUAUCACUGGGCAGCGCGGGAUGGCAACAUAGCCAGAUGACGCCAAAGACAUGGUGCUCUUUUUUUUUUGAGAAUAGCAAAGAUCACCCAAGACUCAACUGGCCAAGAUGAGAGCGGCCAGAACCAGCAGCAGAUCAAUCAAACGAAAAGCCAGCCGAACAAGGAUCAAAUCGGUUUGACAGAGUUGCGAUCUGGAGCAGUAGACACCCGGACAAGAAACAGCAGCAGCCACUCACGUGACCACGCGAGCGCCCUGCAGGCAGCUGCGGAAGACAGCAGCGUCGCGGACGGGCCGGCGGCCGGUGGCAGCGGCGCAGAUGGGGCGGCGACCGGUGGCGCCGAAGAAGACAACAGUGAUGCAGACGAGGCCGGCGGUCGGGCGGGGACGGAGCGGUUGACCUCCGAUAGCUGCUGCCUCUGCUCGAUCGAGAGAUGAACCGACAGGCGGCUCGAGCAGGCUGCAGCGACGGGCCGGCCUGCAGACGGCAGCAGCGGCGCCGACGAGGACGGCGGCCGGCAGCCGUGGAAGGCAACAGCGCCGCUGACGAGGCCGGCGGCCGGCAGCCACGGAGGAAGACAAACGGCCGGCGGCGACCUUGGAUGAAGACAAGCGGCCAGCGGCUCAAUCGAUCGGGAUGAAAUCCGAUAUAGAAUCCAACACAGCGAUGGAUCAGCUAGCUAGCAUGGACGUGAAGCGCCUGUAGCUGGAGAUGGACAUAGGCAAAAGCAAAAUCACGGACCGGCAGAACAGAGAGCAACGGCGGCCGUGCAGAAGAUUGGACUGGAAGCAGCACGAGUUGCGCGUGUGGAAAAAAAAACCUAGAGCUCUAAUACCAUGUUAUGAAAGCAACUUAUAUUAUUAGGAGGCCAAUGCCAACAUAUAUACAUAUACAUGAGGAUGCCAAAAGGCUACAAGAGGAUGCCAAGAGACUAGAAUGCAAAAGGCCAAAAGACAUCACUUAAUAUAACUCUAACAAAAAUUACUGACUGGUUGUCCACUUGUCGCCAUGGUUGCUUGUAAGUAAAGUAAGAUGGAAAGAUGAAUCAAUCCAUGUGAAUCGUGACCGAUUGAUGGAUUCAGUGCGUCUAUGCGACGGGACAGAGUAUUGCUUUGUGCAUGCAUGGAGGAUGCCCUAGCCCUAUUGGUUGUGUCGUUGGUUAGUGGGUGUCAAGGCAUGGAUAGAUCGGGGGUUGAGAGGGACGUGCAUGUGGUGUUGUGGGGGGAGGAAAGAGAGAUGAUUCAUCGGCCAUGAGAGACCGAUGGAGUGCAUGGGGACUCGGUGUCCCCGCCCGGGUUUCCUGCCGGGCUGGGCUUGCUUGGCGUCGCAGCAUGUCUCUGUCUCUCGCACGGAACACACAGUUUUAUUACUCCAAUCAUACAUACUCCCUCCUUUCCGGUUUAUCAUGUGUUGAUCAAGUACUCCCUCCGGCCCCAAAUAGGGAGUGUACAGGAUCAUGUGCUUGUUUGGGCCGUCGGCAUUGUUUUGGCCGUCGGGGUAUGGCCCUGUUCCGGUAGUGAAUACGUCCGCGCUGGCGUAACAUUUUGCAAAGCGAUUCGAAGGGUUUCCUCGUACUUCCAUUCUUCGGCGGCGUGUUCCAGUAAAGCUGAUCCUGGCAGUUGGUAGGACAUCGGCAACGGCGCUGUGCGUGCAUGUCUCACCGGUCGGCAGCGCGACGUGGACGGCGGCGAGCCUUAACUACGGGAGGUGAGGAGGCUGGAGGGCCGGGAUCACCGACCGCCCACUUGGUGGGCGGCGGACCUGGCCCCAUGCCCAUGCUCUCUCACUAUCGGCGGCCCUGGAUCGGAGGGCUGGAGUGAGGCCCGUGCGCGUCUCGUGAGGCCUUCGUGCCUGACUCAGGCCCGAUCAAUUGAUUUUAAUGCAAAAAUAGAUUAACCUUUCCUUGCUUAAAAAACAACAACAAUUGGUUCCUCUCUUCUGAAGAACUCAUCACAGUCAAAUUUCUGAUAAAUACUUUAUUGAAUCUUUUGCAUGAACUAGACAGAUCCAUGGCGCGCAUGUAUCUUAGCCUAUCUUACACGCAUCGUUUUAUUGUUUCUACGUCGUUUAAUUAGAGCAGCAGCACGAACCACCAUUGUCUGGUUUACAGUGGCUCUUUUUGAAUUCGAAAAACGAGCAGUGGUUCCUGCACGCCUCCUCGGAUUCAUGGCCUUUCUCACAGCUUGCAAAACGCACACACAAGUCCAAGGGGAUUGGUUUUGUUGAACCUGUGCACGA
RNAcentral lists this long non-coding RNA (26523 nucleotides) under Triticum aestivum (bread wheat). Its description in RNAcentral is "long non-coding RNA (TAES_LNC026655)". Lineage: Eukaryota; Viridiplantae; Streptophyta; Magnoliopsida; Poales; Poaceae. The record is from RNAcentral.